GUGAGGAAUUUUCCGUAAUGGGCGAAAGCCUGACGGAGCAAUGCCGCGUGAAGGAUGAAGGCCUAUGGGUUGUAAACUUCUUUUCUCAGAAAAGAAUUAUGACGGUAUCUGAGGAAUAAGCAUCGGCUAACUCUGUGCCAGCAGCCGCGGUAAGACAGAGGAUGCAAGCGUUAUCCGGAAUGAUUGGGCGUAAAGCGUCUGUAGGUUGUUUAAAAAGUAUUCUGUCAAAGAUUAGGGCUUAACCCUAGAUAGGCAGAAUAAACUUUUAAGCUAGAGUUUGGUAGAGGCAGAGGGAAUUCCCGGUGGAGCGGUGAAAUGCGUAGAUAUCGGGAGGAACACCAAAGGCGAAGGCACUCUGCUGGGCCAAUACUAACACUGAGAGACGAAAGCGAGGGGAGCAAAUGGGAUUAGAUACCCUGGUAGUCC
This 426-nucleotide ribosomal RNA is filed under the name uncultured bacterium. Its description in RNAcentral is "partial 16S ribosomal RNA". It matches the Rfam family "Bacterial small subunit ribosomal RNA", at positions 354 to 796 of the family's 1533-position model. The record is from RNAcentral.